AACGAACGCUGGCGGCAUGCCUAACACAUGCAAGUCGAACGAGACCUUCGGGUCUAGUGGCGCACGGGUGCGUAACGCGUGGGAAUCUACCCUUGGGUUCGGAAUAACAGUUAGAAAUGACUGCUAAUACCGGAUGAUGACGUAAGUCCAAAGAUUUAUCGCCCAAGGAUGAGCCCGCGUAGGAUUAGCUAGUUGGUGAG
Molecule: ribosomal RNA, 200 nt
Filed under: uncultured bacterium
Lineage: Bacteria
Description: partial 16S ribosomal RNA
Rfam family: Bacterial small subunit ribosomal RNA
Source: RNAcentral